AGGAUGAUUGGAACUUUGGUUCUUCCUGUU
RNAcentral lists this non-coding RNA (30 nucleotides) under Rattus norvegicus (Norway rat). Lineage: Eukaryota; Metazoa; Chordata; Mammalia; Rodentia; Muridae. The record is from RNAcentral.